Molecule: ribosomal RNA, 253 nt
Filed under: uncultured bacterium
Lineage: Bacteria
Description: partial 16S ribosomal RNA
Rfam family: Bacterial small subunit ribosomal RNA
Source: RNAcentral
UACGUAGGGGGCAAGCGUUGUCCGGAUUUACUGGGCGUAAAGAGCGCGCAGGCGGUCGGAUAAGUCGCGUGUGAAAGCCCCCGGCUCAACUGGGGAGGGUCACGCGAUACUGUUCGACUCGAAGGCAGGAGAGGGAAGUGGAAUUCCCGGUGUAGUGGUGAAAUGCGUAGAUAUCGGGAGGAACACCAGUGGCGAAGGCGACUUCCUGGCCUGUUCUUGACGCUGAGGCGCGAAAGCUAGGGUAGCAAACGGG